AUGUAUUUCAGAGAACACUGCUCUGAAACCUGGCAAAGGGAGCCUCAUCACUUCCAGAUCUACUCAGUCCCUCUCCUGAAGUGGCAAAGAUUAAAAAUUGUGGUGGUUGCAGGAUUUCCUUUUUCCAUUUGGAGUUGAGGUCUUCUGCAGGAUACUGCAACGUUUUUGUGACAUCUCUGCUUCCGUUGCCUUUCUGGGAGUCAAGGUACGUUGGGUGGAGAGUGUUUUCAUACGUAGCAAUCUGCAACAGACGUGCCAGAUGGUGAGGUUUGCCACCAUGGCAACAGUAUAUUGAAUAUUUUUUUCUCCAGGCCAAUGUAAUCUCUGGAUUAGGAGAGAAAGGCUCAGAAAUGACGGCUGCAUGUGUGUGGAGGGGGAGGGAAGCAUAAUGGCUCCUGCAAAGGGCACCCUUGUCCCAACAGUCAGUGUGCGAGGGGCUAGGAAGUAAAAGAUAAUUGACUUGAGAUCAGUGUCCUUAUGUAAUGAAGGGCUACUUGGGAGAAAGACGUGAAAACAAAAAAUAAAAUCUAUAUAAUGUGGUAGAUAUUACAAUAGUGCUGUGAGAAACAGGGAGAAUGCUGGGCUAACUCUAUCAGGAAAACAGAAGUGAUGUCACAAGAAAAGUCAUUUGGGCCAAUCUUGAAGAAUAAGUAAAAAUAUUCCAGGUUGUAAAGGAAGUAAACAACACUUCACCAAGGCACAGAAGGUAUGUAGAAUUUGUCAUAAGCUAUUUCUGGGAUACCUAUGGCCACCUAAACCACCACGAAUACAUUGUAACUACUGCCAUUGGAAUCUGUGGAUAAGAAUCAUGGAUUUGUUUUUUGUUGAUCAGUGGCAAGGAAAUUUUUGGCACAUUUCUAGAAUUUAAUGUGUUUGUCAAGAUGUUACUGGAAAAUGCUGAUGAAUUUGAAAUCCUCUUGGAAAGAGGGAUAAUUACCAAUUAAACUAUGUUUGGCUAAGUGGAAAUAAUAUAGCAGUGCUGGUUCUUGGGAAUAAGGAGACAAGCUAGUAUGAAUUUCUUUGUCUUGUGCUAGAACUUAGUGCUGUUUGACAAUAACAUUAAGUAGAGGAUCUUUAGGACCUUUAGAAUUCUAAAUGCUAUUGAGUGGUAAGCUAGAGCUGUAAAUGAAGAGAAACUACGUUGGAGAUACAUUGAAAAUGUCAACUUUUUAAAAUUAAUAAUAAAUAUUUUGUACAAUAAAAUGACAAAUUGCUUUUCAAAUUCUGAUAUAAAUAUUUUUGUUUUUUAAAAUGACUGGCACAUGGAGAGAAAAGCAAAGCAAGAAGCACAGUGUGGCUGGCAUAUAGUCUAUAUAUGUGAGGAAGCAGUGGAAAUACUAUGAUAUAUAAAGCCAGAAAAAUCAUUUGGGGUUAUAUUAGCAAAGGUCUUUCAUGUCACACCAAGAUAUUUUAACACAUCAGUGGUAAUGCAAAAUUACUUAACCAAGAUAAGAGAUAUAAAAAGAGGAACAGUUUAUGGAAAAAGACCAUAAUGAUCACUAGAUUUAAACAAAUUAGACAUGCAUUACAUAACUGUAAUUAUAGACCUGUGGCUAAGUCACUUUAUCUGCAAUAAUGCUAUAUAACACACUCUGUCAAACUCAGUGACCAUAAAAUAAAAAAUCUUUAAUUUUUGCAGAGGAUAUGGGAAGAGAGAAUUGGGAUUGACUGCCAACAGGUACAAGAUUUUUUGGCGGGGAGAUGGACAUGUUCUGGAAUUAGAUAGUUGUGAUGGUUUCACCAGAUUGUGAAUAUACUAAAAACCACUAAGGUGUACACUUCAGCACGGUAAGUAGUGAAAUUAUGUGAAUUUUGUCUCUAUCAGAAAAAAAACAAAUUAACCAUUAAAUAUGUUGGGUAAAUUUUAAUAUAUACAAAAGACAAACUUUUUCUGAAAAAGACAAAGAACAAGACCAUAGGUAUUACCUAAUUGAGUCUACUUAAAUUUUGCAAACAAAAUAAAUAAAUAAAUAAAUAAAUAAAUAAAUAAAUAAAUAAACAAACAAACAAAUAAAUAAAUAAAACAAAAAACCCCCAAGAAACAAAAGCAAAAAAAUGUCAAGGGGAAUGGGAAAUGCAGUGAAAAGCAACCUACAGAAUGGGAGAAAACAUUUGCAAACCAUUUAUCUGAUAAGGAUUAAUAUCCAAAAUAUAUAAAGAACUCCUACACUUCAAUAAAAACAGCAACAAAUAACCUGAUGAAAAACUGAGCUAAAUACUUGAAUAUACUCUCCAAAGAAGACAUACAAACGGCAAACAGGUAUAUGAAAAGAUGCUCAGUACCACUAUCAUCAGGAAAGUGCAGUGGGAUAGCACCUCACACAUGUUAGGAUGUCUACAAUAAAAAUUUUAAAAAGACAUUAAGUGUUGGUGUUGAUAUGGAGACAUUGGAACGCUUUUACACUAUUGGUGAGAAUGCAAAAUGGUGUGGCUGCUAUGGAAAACAGCAUGAAGGCUCCUCAAAAAAUUAAAAAUAGACGUGCUGUGUUGACGCAGAGGUGCACCUCUGUCUCUCUCUAUAGGUCUCGGGGCAUCUUGACUAACAAAAAUUGAACAAAGACAUAUGUUGUUUUAUUUUUUAAUUUUUAAUUUUUUUCACUAAAUCAUAUUUUAAAUAGUAAUAAAUUCUCUCCAAUUUUUAGAAUACUUUAUUUUGUCCUUAUGAAUUUAAUAUCACAUGCUAUUCAUUUGAAUAAUAUGUAUAUCACAUUAGGCUUUUAUAGUAUAUGAAUCAUGUAUUGGCAUGUAUCAUCAUAGUCCGUAGACACCUCCGAAGAAAGAAAUCACCUGGAGGUCUACUUGAAUGAUUGAAGCCUGUGAUGGUGAUAUCAUAUCAUCAUACUUUAAAUGGAAAAAACUACAACAUAGAGAAAUACAAAGUUAUGAGAUGUGUGGUUGAGGAAUUAAGAAAAAAAUAAACCAGCAAUAUUCUCAUUCAGUCAAAGGUUAGUGGUAAAUGUUGAUAUUAUAAAAGUUAUAUUUUGGCCAAGAUAUCUCAUUGAAAAGAACAGAAUAGGUCAGUCUUCAUUCAAUAAGCACAGUUACUUUCCGCCUACGAAAUGAUUCUUAUCUCUGUAGGAUCAGUUUAAGUGCCAGCUCCAGUAAAAGUGUUCCCAGAUACCCUGUAGGAUUCAUCCUUUUUUCUGAAUAGAGCGAUGGAGCUUGAAGCUACAUUUUGCCUCGUACCUUGUAUUAAAGUAAAUUAUUUACAAAAUCUGCCUCCAAAUUAGAUUAUAAAAUUGUUGAGAGAAGAAUUUCUAGCUUUACAAAUCCUCCGUAGGGUUCAGAAUAGUUUAAGUUGAGCCAUGUGAAAUGCUGUUAUUCAACCAUUUUUUUAAAAGUUUUAUGGUAUUUUAUUUUAUUUUUUUUAUAAUUUUUAUUUUGUUAUAUUACUUACCAUACAGUGCACCCCCAGUUUUUUUUUUUUAAAGAUUUUAUUUAUUUAUUUGACAGAGAUAGAGACAGCUAGCGAGAGAGGGAACACAAGCAGGGGGAGUGGGAGAGGAAGAAGCAGGCUCAUAGCGGAGGAUCCUGAUGUGGGGCUCGAUCCCAUAAUGCCGGGAUCACGCCCUGAGCCAAAGGCAGACGCUUAACCGCUGUGCCACCCAGGUGCCCCG
Molecule: long non-coding RNA, 3617 nt
Organism: Ursus thibetanus thibetanus
Lineage: Eukaryota; Metazoa; Chordata; Mammalia; Carnivora; Ursidae
Source: Ensembl